This 993-nucleotide long non-coding RNA is filed under the name Chloebia gouldiae (Gouldian finch). Its description in RNAcentral is "Erythrura gouldiae (Gouldian finch) lncRNA (ENSEGOG00005013452.1)". Lineage: Eukaryota; Metazoa; Chordata; Aves; Passeriformes; Passeridae. The record is from RNAcentral.
CUUUAGCAUGGUUUCAAGUGCAACCUUGAAAAUUGGUUUCUUACAGCAUUUUGUGGGGCACAAGCUGGGAGCUGAGAGCAACAAACUCCUUUGGUCAUGAGACAAGCUUCACUUCACUCCUGUUGUUUCCAGUCACCACAGAAACCAAAGUGAAGGGGUGGACAUAUGGAUGCUUGGAUACCUGUCCAAUACAGCAUCAAGAUAGAGCUGAAGCUUAUACCCAGACCUGGUUAACUCACUUUAUGGUUCUCAUGACCUGAAUCAAAAAAUAGCUUUAAGAUGGCUGAAUGGAUACUCAUCUAGUGAAUUGUUUUCUAUAAUAUUAUGAUAAUGAAUUGAAUCAUGAAAAACAAUAAUAAAACAUCUCCAUAUUGCAUCCAUGGAGAUUCACUAGGGUGAAUUACACUAAAUGGAUUUUUAUGUGGAAUGGGUGUCUUUUCCAAAGUUCAACGAGAGUCAAGACUACAUCCGUACAUGUUUAGGAGCCAAAAAUUGUCUUUGUUGGGUUGGAUAUCUUCCUCUUUAGAAGAACCUUUCUGUCAGAGAAACAGAAGACAGCUUUCUCCUGCCUUCCUGAAAAGUCCUGCAUGGAAUAGACUCCUGCAGCCAGGAAAACGCAAGGAGUAUAAAAUCCAGAUGGUUCCAUGAUGCUGGAACCAGCCACAUCACAUUGAUUAAAGGAAACCUAAAGGAAAUCAAGUAAAAAUCCAAACACCGGAUAGUGAGAGCAGAAAACUGGCUGCACUGUGGAGUUUCAUCACAGCUCUGGCCUCCCCAAACCUCCCUGAAUGUUAACCUGUAUUUAAUAUUCAUUAAGGUGUGGGAAGGCAGGCAGGCCUUGCAGAGGUAUGGAGCAGCAUCUGGAAUCCCUAUGGAUAACUGCAGGACUGUUUAUACUUCUUUGUUUAUUAUUCUGAGUGUGUGCUCUCUCCCUCUUCCUCUCUUUGUCUCCCUUUGUGUAAUAAAGCUCCUCUAGGCAUAUAAAGUAAGUCA